UCCCUGGUAGUCUAGAGGUUAGGACUCAGCACUUUCACGGCUGAGACCCAGGUUCAAUCCCUGGUCUGGGAA
Molecule: non-coding RNA, 72 nt
Organism: Sus scrofa (pig)
Lineage: Eukaryota; Metazoa; Chordata; Mammalia; Artiodactyla; Suidae
Source: the annotation of a RefSeq genome assembly